AUAAUGCUUAACGAUGCAAUUGAGGAAACCUGUUAAAGGUGCCAGUAAUGCUGUGGAAGGAUCUGAGAGAAGAAGGAGAAAAGUGGGAAUAGCCAUAAAGGAGGUUACUCACAGAUAGCUGUGAAGAAAUGAGACAGAAAAGGCGUGAGAGUGACCUGCUCUGAUGGUACUGCUGUUCCAGGACAUGCUACAUUCCAGCGGGUUUCUUCCCUUCAGUUGAACGCAAACAUACAGCCUUCCACAGGUUUCCUGAAUGAAUGACAGUCUACAAAAAGGUGAGGAGAAGGACUCAGGGUGCCGAGUGCUGGGCGGCAUCACCGCAGUCCCUGAAGACCUCAUGGAGCAAGUCCUGCUGGAAACCUCUUUCUGGGCAUACAGAGAGCAAGAAGAUAACUUAGAACAGCACCAUUUCACCAGCACGAGUAAUUCUGACCAAUUAGUCACCUUCUAGAAAGAAAUCACUUCUCUGUGGAUGAAUUAAUUACAGUGGAUGUUGUUUAUGUUGAAACAGCUUCUGACACAGCCUCCAAUGUUAUCUGUGUUCAAAGCUUCUUCAUUUCUCUCUUGCAUGGGAGGUCAAAGCUGGACACACUGCUCUAUGUGGGGUCUUGUAACUAAUGAAUUGCUCCUUAGGCAUAGGGGAGAUAUGAAUUGGACAGUGAAAAGAAAACUGGAUCAUUGACUCAAAUAGGAGUGAUGAAUGAUUUGGAGUAAAACUGACAGGUAGCAGCAAGUGGUCAGUGCUGGGACUGGUACUGCUAAACAUUUUCAGGAGGAGUGGGCUGGCAGAAGCCUCACAGUGUUUAUGAGGCAAAUGUUCACAAGGCAGAACUGUGAUUCUGCCAAGACAAAUUAGCACAGGCUGGAAGCCAACAGACUAGAGAACAGCUCUGCAGAAAGACUUGAGAGUCCUGGUGGACAACAAGAUGGUGGGUCAGCAGGAACAUGCUUAGAGCAGUGAAGGCAAAUUGUUUACCAGUCUGUCUUAUCAAGACUGUAGUCAGAAGAUCAAGUGAUUAUUCUCCUCUAUUUGUUACAAGACCCCAUGUGGAGCAAUGUAUCCACUUUUGAACUUCUGUGCAAGAAAGGAAUGAGGAAGCUGGAGGAAAUCCAACAGGGAGUAAGUAAGAUGGUUAGGGAGCUGUGGCAUAUGAAAGCUGAGGAAAGUUAGGGAAGUGUAAGGAGGAGUUGAGAGAGCUGUUCUUGUUUAUCCUGGACAAGUGAAGGCUAAGGGAGGAUCUGAGUUGAUCUUCCACUACCUCAAGGAGGGAUAUGUGGAGGAUGGAACAAGAACUUCAGAGCAAAAGGACAAAAUGCAAUGAAUACAAGUUGCUAUAUGGAAAGUCCAAAGGCAUUAGGAAAAUGUCUUAGACAUUAUGUAAUUUUAUUUUACUGUGAGGGUGCUUAAAACUGUAACAGGUUGCUCAGAGAGACUGUAGAGUCUCCAUCCUUGCAGGUGCUGUUGCUUGGUUAGUCACUUGAAACUUGCCCUCUUUUGUGGAGAAGGUUGGGCUCGGUGACCUCCAGAGGUCUCUCCCAAGCCAAACUACUAUCUAAUUAUCCCAUUCUAUAAUAAACCUUCACCUGCAGACAUGACAUCCUUCUGAAUGGAGGAAAGAUGCAGGGAGGAAAUAGGGAAGAAGCAUGAGGCUUGGAAGUUGCUCUGCGAGCAUAUGUGGAAGAUUCUUUAGAUCUUGGUUAGUUCUUGAGUUAGAUCUCCUGGUUUGCAGGAGUGUAUUUGGCCUUUAGGAGUGUCACAGAACUCUGUUAAUGCCACAGCAGCAGCAGGGCCCAGCAUACCGGAUACAAGACUGACACUCUGAGUUGAAUUCCAGACUUGACCGUGCUGUUGUUCUGCUACUCUACAGGUCUCUGUGGUUUGUUUUGCCCUCCCAUUCCUUCUGUAUUUAGACUGCAGACUGUUUGUCACUGGUUGUUUUACAUACAGCAUACCCUGGCCUCAUAUUGAGUAUGGCUGUAAGCAUUUUUUUUUAAAUUGUAUUUAUUUAUUUAUUUUGAAAAUGCCAUCUGAGGUUAACAGUGCACAAAAUACAAGGUAUUACAGCUGGAAUUUCCCUCAGACUGCAUUUGUUGUGCAAUACUGAGAAAAAAUUAAAGUCUUCCAUGCUGUACUGCUCUCUGUAAGAGGUUUAAAUAAACUUGCACUGUGUGUUGAAAUGUUAGCAGUAGUGAUUGGAGCCUGGGAUUGAAUUAGAGUAAUCUGUGAGGAGAGAAGCUGAAGAGCCUUGUUACAGUUAAUGGAGCAAGAUGAGGGAGAAGAUCUGUAUUUGCUCGUAAGAUUCUGCUUGUCACCAAAUAAAAACAAAUCUUUGAGACUUUACGUGGGGCUGAAAUCCUUAUGCAGCUUGGUGGAAGGCUUUGUGUUCAUUCUGUGGCGUUAAUUCCUACAGGGUAGCGUGAACUUGACUUCCAAUUAACAUUGAUGUGAAGUGCUUACAGGAUUUAUGAGCUAGAAUUAAGAAAAAUAACCAACGUGGACUGCUGCCAUAGCUCUGGAGAUUCUCUUUUAGCCAACUGUACUGCCACUAAAAUUACUUCUGGC
This is a long non-coding RNA of Gallus gallus (chicken), 2563 nucleotides long. The record is from Ensembl. Lineage: Eukaryota; Metazoa; Chordata; Aves; Galliformes; Phasianidae.